AGAUUAAUAUUUUCAAGAUCUAUACAUUAAUUAAUAUUAUUUGUGUGGUAUAUAGUUUUUUUGUGGCUGAAGUGGUGUAGUAAAGAAAUUAGCAAAUGCAUUAUUUGAUGUCUUUUUGGCAAUGUCACAUCCAGAUUUUUCAGUAUUGAUAUGGACUCUUUCCAAUGGCUCUGAUUAAAGAUAAAAUUGUGAAGCAAAAAUCAAUCUAUUAUCAGUCUUGGUCAUGAAUGGCGUGCGAUCGCACCCGCACUCCUCCGCACACGCCAUGUGAAAGUCGGGCGUGCUCUUUAUCACACGCCUCGUUCUACUUCGUACACACGCCAAGCAGAACUGAGCUAUUUUAGAGUAAUCCCUUACCCAAACUUUACCCAAUACAUAAUUGUUCUUCCGCGUUAAAAUGUAUCUCUAAAAUGUAUUUCUAUUAAAUACCCACCUUCAUUAAAAUUGCUGACGUGAGAUACAUUUCAAAUGUUUUGCGUCAGCAUUGCAUCGACAAUAUUUUUUUUGUUUUUCAGCUAGCAAAAAAUUUCUUCAUUACCCUUGUAUUGAUCUCCUUAAGACGAUGACAAAUGGAAAUGCUAUUUACGAACCGAAGGUCAGGGCAUUAUUAAGUUGAAUAUCGCAGAAGUCACAUGCUUCAAAAAUACUUGUCACAGGCACAGUUUAAUGCAAAGCAGAACUGUACAGGAAACUCAAUUGAGAGUCUUCGCAGAACAUUUCUUCUCACAAAACUGAGGGCAGGGCUUAUUGCCUGCUGUGUCGUGUGGGAGAGAGAACUUCUGGACUUCUUUUUAAUACGAUAUACAUUCUUGUUGAUCAUUAUUACGAAUCGAAAGGCACCGCAAUUUUUCUGCUGCUUGAAUAAUUUUAAUUAGUGACAUGUUUAUUUUUUGUUUACUUUCUUUUUUUUUUUUUUUUGUUUGGGGUCUGGAUUAAAGUUGGUUAUUCAUUUUUCACAUGCUUCAUUCAAUAUGGCAGCUUGUUGUGAACAUGGUUUGUAAACAUUUUGUUGCUAAAAUAAAUAAGUCAACAAACGAAAAAAGAAGCAAAUAAAAAGUAAAAAACAAUGCUUCAAAAACUCCGCACUGCCGCUCUCCUGAAUGUAAUAAUUGCACGCCAAAAUCAUAAGCUAGGCGUGCGAUACUGAUCGCACGCCUGUAUUAGUGUAGGCGUACGUACAACCGCACGCGGGUGCAAAUAUUCAUGACCAAGACUGUAUUAUAUAACACCAAGAAAAUUUUUUAUGAAAUAGUUAAAUAGAUCUCUACAAGUAUAUCAAUCAACAGCAAUGCUAGAAGUCGUGUCAGGAUUAAAGAUUCACUUAGUGAUGAAUUUAGUGUAAAUGUUGAUGUACAUCAGGGUUCUGUACUUAGUCCUUUGUUGUUUGUUUUAGUCUUAGAAGCGCUGUCGAUAGAGUUCAGAACAGGUUGAUGAUUUGUUUCUCAUAGCAGAGUCGAUGGAAGAAUUAGUUGAAAAGUUUGAGAAGUGGAAGAAAGGACUAGAAGAGAAAGGGCUAAAGGUAAACACAGCAAAGUCUAAAGUCAUGAUUAGUAGCAUUGCAGCCAAGUGUGACCUUGUAGUUGGAAAGUGGCCUUGUGUAGUUUGCAGGAAAGGGGUUGGUAGUAACUCAAUUUUUUGUCAGACUUGCAAGCAUUGGGUACAUAAGAAGUGCAGUAGUAUUAGUGGAAGGUUAAGAGCUGACAUAAAGUUUGUAUGCAAGCGUUGCAAAUGUGAGAUUAUAGAGAAUGAAGUAUUUCCAGCUUUAAUGAUGUACAACAGUGGCUCGUUAGAGAUAGUUAAGAACUUCUGUUACUUAGGUGAUAUGUUGGGCAGUGAAGGGGGUGUUGGAAGAAGUGUUACUUGCAGGAUAGGUUCUGCUUGGAAAAAGUUUAGAGAGUUACUUCCUUUAUUGACUAGCGGGGUCCUGUCAAUUGAGGUAAAAGGCAGGUUGUAUGAGGCCUGUGUAAGAAGUGUUAUGUUGUACGGUAGUGAGACAUGGGCAGUAAAGCAGGAAGAUCUUGAUCGUUUAGAAAGGAAUGAUAUGAGAAUGGUUAGGUGGAUGUGUAACGCCAAUCUGAGAGACAGAAAGAGUUCAGAUGAGCUAAGAAGCAGGCUAAGUCUCCGUAGAAUUAAAGAUGUUAUCCAGAUAAGAAGAUUGAAUUGGCUAGGGCACUUGGAAAGAAUGGAGGAGGAUAAUUUGGUAAGAAAGUGUAGAGACUUGAUAGUUCCUGGGGCAAAGCCCAGAGGCAGACCGAGAAAGACUUGGCAGGAGGAAGUUGAGUUUAGAUCUAACACAGUCUAGAUCAGAUUGGAAGAGGGUCAUUAAUAUACCCCGUCCAACCCAUGCUAGCAUGGAAAACGGACGUUAAGCCGAGAAUGAUGAAUGAUGAUGAUGGUGAAGUGCAUACCUGAAAAUAACAUAAUCCGAAAUUAAUGCUGGCCAUAAAUGCUGACUUUUUAAAACAUAAAAUAAUUAACGUGGUAAUUGACAUGAUACUAUAACACUUAUUAUACAAGGUAAGGAAAAUAAAAUGAUUAAAGGCAUCACGUGACUUUUCUAUGUAUAGUUGUAAAAUAAAUAUUUUAGGCUGGUACAAAUGUUUUAAUUGGUGUAAAAGCAGUCAUCGAUGAACCUUUACCUACACAAACUAAUGAAGGGAGAAUAGAGUUUUUUGUUGAUUGCUCAGCAAAUGCAUCGCCUAUUUUUGAAGGGCGUGGUGGUGAUGAGCUGGCUUUA
RNA transcript from Hydractinia symbiolongicarpus, 2737 nucleotides. It is a transcript of the gene named exosome complex component RRP42-like, with no coding region annotated. The record is from RefSeq and is a predicted model, not a curated record. The transcript has 2 exons. NCBI's taxonomy places the organism in Eukaryota, Metazoa, Cnidaria, Hydrozoa, Anthoathecata, Hydractiniidae.